AGCUCCUACGCACUCUCAAAGCCUUUUGAAUUUGUGGAUUUACUCAUUUUUUCGUUGUGCAUGGUGACAUGUCUCGUCGCCUCUUAAGGAACAAUUUAGAGCGUCAAGGUCACUCUUUUUUCUCUUUCAAGUUCGUCAUGCGUAAUUGCACACGUCCUGUCUCCUUUCAAGGAGUUAUUUAGAGUGUCGAAGUCGCUUUUUUUCCUUUUUAAGGUGUCUUGCUUGAAGAAUCUUGGAUUUUUAAGGUUUCUUUCUCCUGUUCAUCAAUAACUUCUUUUGAUGUUACAUCUUCUCACCUCCCUCAUGUUACCAUUGUGUUUGAUCUGUCC
This 329-nucleotide long non-coding RNA is filed under the name Vigna radiata. Its description in RNAcentral is "long non-coding RNA (VRAD_LNC016043)". The record is from RNAcentral. Lineage: Eukaryota; Viridiplantae; Streptophyta; Magnoliopsida; Fabales; Fabaceae.